Cryptomeria japonica (Japanese cedar) is the source of this 1471-nucleotide long non-coding RNA. RefSeq lists it as uncharacterized. NCBI's taxonomy places the organism in Eukaryota, Viridiplantae, Streptophyta, Pinopsida, Cupressales, Cupressaceae. The transcript is spliced from 3 exons. The record is from RefSeq and is a predicted model, not a curated record.
AAAAGUGCCAUUCAAAAGCUUAAAAAGGAGAAGUUCCAAUAUUUAAAUUGACCCCUGUGCUUUCUCUCGUUUGUCCAAUGUCAUGGUUUACUUCAUCGAUUCUCCACUGGACAAAGCUCCUUCCAUAAACUUUACAGGAUAUUUGAUAUUCCAUCUGCUCCUGCUUUAGAAACUCCUCUGCAGCCAAAUCCUGCAAAUCUCAACUUGAAUAGACAGACUGUCUCAAUUGCACAGCAUUCUUGCAUUUAGACACCCAAGUGUCUUCCAGGAUUGAUCACUGGGAGAAAUGUUGUGAAUUCCGUGAAACACCCGUUUCAAUCACUUUCAAGCACCCCAAUGGCCGUUUUGCUCUUAUUGGGAUUAUCUGAUAAAUGUGUUCAUGCCUACAGGUAAGCUGCCAGACAGCUUAGAUUUCCUCUUUGUUAUCAAUUUCUCAAGCACCCACAUGUUUGUCUAGACUGUUUUAAAUUUCAAGUUGUUUUUGAGUUCUAGGCCCUACAUGAUAACCUAAAUGUUCACAUCAUUAUCCUGUAUACAUUCAUUUAAAUCCUCCAAUGAGGUUCGGAAGUAAGCAGAUGUAUAACCAACUUGCAAGUUUAUUUGCAAAUCUAGUACUUAGGGGAUAGGAUUAUGCUUUCUCCUCCUCCUUCAUGGUGCCUGAUUUACUGCUUCUCCUCUUUGUCCUCAUCCAUGCUUCCCUGAUUCUAUCUCUGAUUCUUGUGGGUGUAGUCCUACUGUUAAUUGGUGCACUGAUCGUUUCUUUCCUUGUUAUACUCUGGCUGCUUGUGUAUGAUCUCUAUAAGCUGCUGUUCCUGGCGAUGCAUUGCGUGAAGAGUGUAGUGUCCUGUCUGUUUUGGUUUUUGCUGUUUUUUGCGUCCUUGGUGGUUAGUAGCGUGGUGGGAAUUGUGAACACUGUCGUAGGCUUUGUUCAUUCAGUGAUCUCGGAGUAUGGAGUAUGGACAGACUACAACACUUCCAGCAAUUGUUCCAGGGACUAUACCUAAUCAUGCCUGUCUUACACUCACCCAAGUUAAGGCAAGGUGACACCCGACUGUGAAUGAUGGUUUGGUCCACUUUACAUGGAGGGAACUGUUCAGAUACUCAUUUUUGUUGGCAGCCUAAGGUUGUAUGUAACAUCUAGAUCUGAGCCCUGUCCUGAGUUGAGUGUGGCUGCAUUUUUCUUCAUCCAGAAUGUGAGGAGGUGCGCUACAUACACACCAUCCAAUCCAGUGGAUAUGGAGUUUUCUGAUGGAUUUAUAUUUCCAGAAAAAUAUACAAAUUCACAAAUUCAUUCUUUAUGCAUUUUUGACAAAUGCCAAAAAUGAUUCUUUGGUUUUUGUAAUACUUAAAGACUAAGAAUAUUUACAAGUUUUGUCAUGAAUUUAUACCGAAUCAUUACCUAUGUAAAAAUAAGUCUUGAUAGAAAUUCAUAUAUUUGGUAAGGCAAUUAAAGCCUUUACCUUUAACUUUC